RNAcentral lists this ribosomal RNA (119 nucleotides) under Triticum aestivum (bread wheat). Lineage: Eukaryota; Viridiplantae; Streptophyta; Magnoliopsida; Poales; Poaceae. The record is from RNAcentral.
GGAUGCGAUCAUACCAGCACUAAAGCACCGGAUCCCAUCAGAACUCUGAAGUUAAGCGUGCUUGGGCGAGUGUAGUACUAGGAUGGGUGACCUCCUUGGAAGUCCUCGUGUUGCAUUCC